GAUGAACGCUGGCGGCGUGCUUAACACAUGCAAGUCGAACGAUGAAGCCCAGCUUGCUGGGUGGAUUAGUGGCGAACGGGUGAGUAACACGUGAGUAACCUGCCCUUAACUCUGGGAUAAGCCUGGGAAACUGGGUCUAAUACCGGAUAGGAGCGCCUACCGCAUGGUGGGUGUUGGAAAGAUUUAUCGGUUUUGGAUGGACUCGCGGCCUAUCAGCUUGUUGGCGAGGUAAUGGCUCACCAAGGCGACGACGGGUAGCCGGCCUGAGAGGGUGACCGGCCACACUGGGACUGAGACACGGCCCAGACUCCUACGGGAGGCAGCAGUGGGGAAUAUUGCACAAUGGGCGAAAGCCUGAUGCAGCGACGCCGCGUGAGGGAUGACGGCCUUCGGGUUGUAAACCUCUUUCAGUAGGGAAGAAGCGAAAGUGACGGUACCUGCAGAAGAAGCACCGGCUAACUACGUG
This 466-nucleotide ribosomal RNA is filed under the name uncultured bacterium. RNAcentral's name for it is "partial 16S ribosomal RNA". It matches the Rfam family "Bacterial small subunit ribosomal RNA", at positions 28 to 507 of the family's 1533-position model. The record is from RNAcentral.